UGGCGCUUUGGAUACUAAAUAGGCAACUAAUUCAAUUGGUGCUUUCUCCGAGGGUCUGCUUGCAAACCGGUGCCAGACUCACUGGUCCUUUGUGUACUGCCCGCCCUGCAUGUGUCUGGGCUCCCCUGGCCAGUCCGUUUUUUUGUCUCUGAUGGUUAAUAAGCUUUGAGCCUAGUAGUCAAAUGUGGUGGGAACGGGGACAAGACGAGGGUCCUUAGUGAAGGUGUUUGUUGUUAAAUAGAACAAUUCAGCUGUCUCUUUAGAAAACUUGACAAAAGGAAAUGCUCCCUGCUGAAAAUUUUCUUAGCCUGUUGCACAAAAGAUGAAGUUUGUUUAAGAAAUUGCUGCUAAAGAAAGCGUCAACCCAUUAAGGUAUGGUUAGAGGUCCCAAUAUGACUAUUGCAAACCUGAAGGGGACUCUAUAGGAAAUAUAUGAGUCAUGGAGAGAUUGUUUUAACAACACACCUCACAACCCUCAGGGCGCAUGAUGUAAUGGCCAGCACUUGCACAUGGGAGCCAGAAAGCCUUUCAUGAGCUGCAACCUUUAUUCAAUAAAAAUUAUUGUGUUCCAGAUCUUUUUUUCUUCCCAAAGAGGGGAAAACAUAUAAAUAUCAUGUAGAAAGAUUUAGGAAUCCUAGAGAGCUCUGCAGGUUUUAAAAACAUUAAUUAUUGUUAAAACCAAGGGAAAAGAAGCAACACACACAAAACCAACACCAGAGAUUAUUUUUACCCUAACUUGGUUCAGUGACACCAGAUGUAGAACGGGGCUCUGUGCCUUGAAGUGUCACAAGUUUGAGUCAAAACUCAACUUCAAGUUAAUUGGCUGGUUUGGGGGCUACACAAAUUGAAGAGAGACAUAUUUGUUUCUGACGAGGAAACAGGGAGGGUCACUGAUCCUGACUCUGCACCCCUUUGCUAUGUUACCAGAAACUUGCUCCCCUAGGUAAAUAUCACUAAAGCUACACUUUUUAUCUUUCCUGAUGAUAAAGAAAUAGAAAACAAAUGCAAUCAUCAGAAAUCCUGUAGGAGAGUAAAAGAAACAAAACAAAAACAAAGGUGAGGCUUUAUGCUGUCCAGGUGCAUAUUCAAAAGCAAUGUUUGUUUGUCAACUCUGGGUUUUGCCUAUCUUUCCAACUAUGCUGACACCCAUAUGCAUUUAAAUAAUAUCUAAUACUAUGUUCUAAUUUUAAUAUUUUGAAAUGUACAAUGGCAAACCCUAUAAUUAAGUGGCUGGGCUUCCUUGCAUUCUGUUUUUAUUGCUAUUUCUAGAUAAAUUGCAAGCUUCUUUGGAUUAUUAGACAGGAUUCUUUCCUUUAAAAACCCCAUCCAGGUAGGAGGAAGAAACCAUUUGAAAUACUCUAUAUGUCAUUCAGGGGGAAAAAUUAUCUACAAAAGAGAAAGAGCUACCAUAUGGAUUCACUAGACACUAACCCUCUUGUCCACCCAAAUUAUUACACUCCCCACAUAAUAAGAAGACAUUGAAGGGGCUGUGUUGUAUGCCUUCCAGGCAUAGCUCCAUAGCCAGCAAUUAGUCUAUGUACUCAGAGGCCAAAAAACCUUAUUGUCUAACUUGCUGUAUAAUUAUCUGUUAUGAUGAACUGUGAUUCUAAGGACCAUUGUCUUUAAGCUUGGAUCUGUGUAUGGAGUAGAUGUCUGGCUGAGACCCAAGAAUGGACCUUCCUUUAAGUAUCUCUGCCUGAGUGAUUUCUCUGGUCUCUUCCUGGCU
This is a long non-coding RNA of Heterocephalus glaber (naked mole-rat), 1726 nucleotides long. RefSeq lists it as uncharacterized. NCBI's taxonomy places the organism in Eukaryota, Metazoa, Chordata, Mammalia, Rodentia, Bathyergidae. The record is from RefSeq and is a predicted model, not a curated record.